CUUGACUCUAGUCUGGUAUUGUGGGGAGACGCGAGAGGUGUAGCAUAAGUGGGAGGUCCUUGGGCCGCCGGUGAAAUACCACUACUCUCGUGGUUUCCCCACUCAGUCGGUGAAGCGGCAACCGCCCGCCCGUUGUGGUGUGGCGCGGUUCUGGCGUUGAGUCGGAGGGCCUUGUGCCCUACCGACCGGGCCGAUCCGAGGACAUCAUCAGGUCGGGAGUUCGACUGGGGCGGUACAUCCAUAAAACGAUAACGUGGGUGUCCUAAGGUCAGCUCGGCGAGGACAGAAACCUCGCGUAGAGCAAAAGGGCAAAAGCUGGCUUGAUCCCGGCGCUCAGUAGCCGCCGGGACUGCGAAAGCACGGCCUAUCGAUCCUUUUGGCUCGGAGAGUUUCCGGCAAGAGGUGUCAGAAAAGUUACCACAGGGA
Molecule: ribosomal RNA, 426 nt
Filed under: Crypturelloides mindeni
Lineage: Eukaryota; Metazoa; Arthropoda; Insecta; Zygentoma; Nicoletiidae
Description: partial 28S ribosomal RNA
Rfam family: Eukaryotic large subunit ribosomal RNA
Source: RNAcentral